This 2753-nucleotide long non-coding RNA is filed under the name Marmota monax (woodchuck). Lineage: Eukaryota; Metazoa; Chordata; Mammalia; Rodentia; Sciuridae. The record is from RNAcentral.
CUCCAAGUUCUAUCUUUGCUGAGUCUCAGUUUUGCACUUGAGAAGUCCUAGUUCCUUUCCUAUGGUUAGAGCUUUUGCCAAAUUCUGGUAAUACUUUCCACCUUACACAUCUGACCUAGAGUGGUAAUGGCUCCCUGUGGUCACCAGUCCCAGGGUGGGUCACUAAUAAGUUUCCUUUCCAUUCUAACCACCUGAGGAAAACUCUCUACAUUUUCCUCUUUUCAGUCUAUCAUUUGUGUUUCUUGGUGAGACCUCAACAUAUACAAUGACAGAUGAUGACAGCAAUGGUGACAGUGGUGUUAGACUCCAGUAGAGAGUUCAAGAAUCCUAAUGAGCAACUCAUGCAGAAAUGCUCCAGAAUUGUGACACAGACAGGCAUGAUGCCUUUCGUACUGCUUAUCAACUCCUGUGUAACAAGUUACCCAAAACUCAGUGGCUUUAAACAACAGUAAUGAUUUAUUGUUUCUCAUCCUUUUGCACAUCAAGGGUUUGAUACGGCACAGCAGGAUGGCUUGUUUCUACCCCAUCUUGUCUAUGGUCUUCUAUGGAAGGCUUUGAGUUCCAGCUGAUUCUGGCUGAAGGUUUUGUGAAAAAAAAAAAAAAGGCUGAGCAUUUAGAGACACAGAGAGAAUUUUCUGAUCCAGGCUGAAGCCAUACUGCCUCCUAAAACCUAUCCUUGGAAGUCAUGCAGGGUCAUUUCCAUCGUGUUUACUGUUUUAGGCAGUUGUAAAGGGCCAGUCAGGUUCAAGGGGAGGGUAUGUAGGUCCCACCUCUUGAUGGAGACUAUUGGAUGGCAUAUUGUAUGAUAUGGGCCACAUCGAGAUCUCUACAUGAAUCUUCAUGUGUCACCCCCCUUUUUUCCCAUGCAAUGACAAUCAUGGGAAGAAACAUGCUGAAGAUAACAGUUCCUCAAACAUCAAGGAACCUGAACCUCUAAGUCAUCACUUGGAAGAUAGCCUCUGACUCCAUAUUUGACCUAUAUUUGUAUAAAAAUAAAACUCCUGGGGUAUCAAUCCUGAGAUUUAGUGAUUGCUAAAAGAAUGGAAAUUCACCCAUGUCCCUAAACUUCAUCUGAGCCUGUGUCUCUCUCUCCCUGUAUUAACAGCACAUCUAUCAUGACUGUUAAGGACUGGCUAAUUUCAUCUUUCUUCCUAUAAACCCCAUACUUCUCUCCGCCCCAGGUAUUAGUAAGCAGUGGGAUGACUAUGGGAAAGAGAAGAAAAUCAUGGGGGCUGACCAACAGGAUAACUGUAUGCAAUUAAAAAGGUUUGGCCCAACCAAACAGUGGAAAAGGGAAAGCGUUAACACAAAUGCAGUUCAGUCCUUGUCUGACGGAUCACAGGGAAGAUGGAGAUGGUUGUGCUGGAAGUGAUUGGCAGGUAUGUGUCUGCAGCAGCCUAACCCCACCAUGGAAGACUUGUCUGAAGGAGGAAGUCAGUUUGAUGUCCAUCCCAAUAAAAAUUCUGGGAAAAACAUCUGUCAGGUGAUAUUUAGAGCUGACAUUUUCAUAAGGAUCCAGUCUGUAGAGGGUUUCGCGGGGCUUGGAAAAAACAUGUUUUUCUUUCUUUUUUUUUCUCCUCCUCACCUCCUGUAAUUAAACAAUGCUCACAGUAUUAAACGUAUGUGUACAGUAUGACAAUUUAAAAAAGAUUUUUAUUUCAAAAUAAUUUCAAUACAAUGAUUUCAGUAAUACCAGUUUAAUCAUAAUAAUUUAAUACAUAGUAUUUCCUUCCUGAAGCAUUGGACAGUAAGUCACACACAUCAUAGCUCUGAACCCCUGAAUACCUCAGGGCAUAUUUCCAAAAGAUAGCAAUAAUUUUAUAUAACCACAGAAAAAUGGUCAACCUCAGCACACUUAUCGUCAAUAUUUUUUUCUAAUCCCCCAUCAGCAUUCUGAUUGCAUCCAUAAUUUGACUCAAUCAUGUUCUACUUGGAUCUCCACACCAGUGCUUAUCAUGUCUUGUGAUUGCCCCUUAGCCUGGAACAUUUACAUCCCCACACCUUUUUUUUUUUAAUUUAUGAUACUGACAGUUUUGAGGAAUUGAAUCAUUUUAAAACCAGCAUGUUCCUUACAUUCAUCCUUUCCAUUUCCUCACACUAAAUGCCCAUCAAAAUCCAUAUCAGAGGCAACUAACUAGUUAAUUGGUAGAAUGGUUAUAAAUAGGUUAUCUACCUAAUUAUCACCUUGUUCUUUCCUCUAUAAUUGAUUGCAGCAUACUAAAAUAUGCUUUUUACUGAGGUAUAAUUUAUGUCCAUUAAAGUUUGUUCUUUUUAUUGAACAGUUUCAUGAGUUUUAGUAAUGUAUUUAGUCAUGUAACCAACACCAGAAUCAAGGUUCGGGAGAAUUCCACCCUCAAAAAUGUUACCUUGUGUCCUCUACUCUUUAAUAGUCAAGCCUUUCCUUCUGGUUCUUGGCAAUCACUGAGCUAUUUUAUAUUUACAUAAUUUGGCCUUUUCUUUUCCAUAUAAAUAGAAUUAUAUUUAUAAGGCCUUUCUGUGUCUGGUUCUUUACCUUAGUGUGUGUGUGUGUGUGUGUGUGUGUGUAUGUGUGUGUAUAUAUAUAUAUAUUUGAAGUUAAUGCAUGUAAUCAGAUGUAAUAUUUAUUGCUGUAUAGUAUUCCGUUGUAGGAAUAUGCCACAGAAUGUAUGUCUAUUUGUCAUUUCAAGGACAUAUAUAUAUAUUGUUUUCAGUUUUGGUGAUUAUGAAUAGAGCCAUUAUAAACAUUCAUAUUCAGGUUUUUGUGGGAACUUAUG